UACGUAGGGUGCAAGCGUUAAUCGGAAUUACUGGGCGUAAAGGGCGCGUAGGCGGCGUGACAAGUCACUUGUGAAAUCUCCGGGCUUAACCCGGAGCGGCCAAGUGAUACUGUCGUGCUAGAGUGCGGAAGGGGCUACUGGAAUUCUCGGUGUAGCGGUGAAAUGCGUAGAUAUCGAGAGGAACACCUGCGGCGAAGGCGGGUAGCUGGGCCGAUACUGACGCUGAGGCGCGAAAGCCAGGGGAGCGAACGGG
This 253-nucleotide ribosomal RNA is filed under the name uncultured bacterium. Its description in RNAcentral is "partial 16S ribosomal RNA". It matches the Rfam family "Bacterial small subunit ribosomal RNA", at positions 524 to 776 of the family's 1533-position model. The record is from RNAcentral.